CUUCUCAUUCAGCCUUACCUGAGGCCACUCUAGAGCAAAACACCUUCCAGGGACAGAAUUAUUCUUUCUCUUUGGCAAAGGGAAUGACAGGACUAUGGAAUAGCAGCUUUUUCUAUUUCAGCUCUCACUAUAAUUCCUAGCAGCAGAUCAGGCUAGAGCCAGCUGCAGUGAUGAGCUCCAGGGAAGCACUGCUAUCUCCCCUCCUGGUGAGUCAUGGUGACGUAUUUUGUGAGAUCUGGUAGAUGCACAGGCAGAAUCCAGUCCACCAUAAAGAGGGUUCUUCUUUUGGUCAGUCUAAAAUCUAUUUUGCACCUGGAACAUCUCUACAACUUCCACAGGUGGGGAGGGGAGAAGCUGCAGUCCCAAGGCAUUCCCCACCUUCUGCAGAAACAAAGUGAUGUGUCUAAAGGAAACUGCUUUGUGGUGGGGUCCCUAGAAGUGUGAGGAAGUUUUCUAUUAGUGAAAUAGCUUUGUCCAUGUGCUGUAUCAUCAUGGCCUAUCACCAUGGAUGGAGAUGGAAACCCCCAGUACUGCCACAACCCCAGGUGACACCAGUACCUGGGAGGGAGCUGCUUUGUCCUUGGGAAGAGUAGCAACACAGCAUCUCUGCAGGCUCUGAGAUCUUUGAUUAUCUAAUAAUUUGCGGUAUGUGAAAGUGCUUUUCUUUGAAUUACUUUGAUGUGUAUAUUGAAAAAGAUCUUUUUAAUUAUUUAUUUUAGAAUUAGACAAACCAAGAAAUGACGCAAAAUAAUCAUUUUCUAAUGGAGCUAAGUGGUAUCUCUCUUUAGGAAAAACAAAAUGCAAUUUCCUCCUAUGAACAGUCUUCUUACUUGUAUUGCUUUCCUUUCAGUUAGAAUGAUAUAUUCUCUGUUAGAAUGAUACAUACUAGUUUAAUUCAAAGAUCAGCUCUAGGUUUUUAAAUGUACUUUUCCCUUCCUUAAAAGUGGCUCCAGGGUGGAGGUAAGGACUUUAGAUCCUUAGGAAAAGUUACCCUAUAUUCUGUGAAAAGAGAUUUGUUAUUUUUCCUGAAUUCCAAGAUGCUUUGCUAAACUUGAUCCCUCUUAUGAAUAGCUUCCUUAAUGCCAAAUCAUUGUUGAGGUACUCUGUUAGCAAUUGCUGUGAGACGGACUUGUUUAUUUGCCACCAUUUUAUUCCUUCACUCUCCUUAAAUGAAGGUAACAAAACAAUUUGUUAAAGAGACUAAUACCUUUUUUUUUUUUUUUUUUUUUUUGAGAGAGAGAGAGAGAAA
This is a long non-coding RNA of Cygnus olor (mute swan), 1249 nucleotides long. RefSeq lists it as uncharacterized. The transcript is spliced from 3 exons. The record is from RefSeq and is a predicted model, not a curated record. Lineage: Eukaryota; Metazoa; Chordata; Aves; Anseriformes; Anatidae.